UUUGUCCAUUCUGAACACAUAUUGUGUCAUACCCUAAAUCCGAGUCAUAACAUAUGCUGCACACUUAUAAUAUAUAAUCUUAGAAAUAUGUAAGACAUUAAUUAUACUGAAAUUUUUUAUAAAAUUUGAAAAGUGGUAAGCCUCAAUUAUUAUUUAUUAAAAGUCAAUCGGUCAUGUACUUAAAAAUAAAGAUCUGAAACAAGAAUCUAAAUGAAAUACAUAAAACUCAUACAUAAACUUAAAGUCCCAAAUAAACAAUUUGAAAAUAGUCUCAAAUAUCUAAAUGUUGAAAACAUCCUUAAAAGUCUUGAAAAUAUGCAUUAAAAUUCUGAAAUAUUGCUCCUUAAAUUUUUGGCAUGCAUGACCAAAAUAAGAACCUGUAAAAAUGUAAAAAAAAAGUGAGUAAAUAAUCGAUAUCCCUUCGACUAGAUUAAAUAAUAUAAAAACAUUUAUGACAAAAUAACAAAAUAAUUCUUUUUUUAUAAAAUUUUGGGUUAUUAUAUAUUUGUAAGAAAUUUUGUUCCAAGAUGACAAAAUCAAACAACAUCAUAAAUUAAUUUAAAAAGUGUUUCCUUCAAUAAUCAUAACCACACUUAACUCUGGUGACGUAGAUCAGAAUUAUAACAAAACGACAUUUAACCCUAGUGGUAUGGGCAACACAUAUUAGAAGCGACUAAUGAUUGCAUAAAUCAAUAUCACAAAGACCAAUAUUCUAAACUAGAGGAUGGUUCAAAACUAGUUUUUAAUAGCAGAAUAUAUCUGGCAUUGUCGAAAAUUAACUUUUAUUGAUAGAAUCAGAAUAUGAUGUACCAAAACAUAGCGUACGAAGGAACAAUUCAAAACAAAUAAUUUUAGAUUACACAUAAUGAACAAUAAUAUCAUUUUCUUAUUUGCAAAAAACUUUUAAAAAUCAUAUAUACAUAUACAUAUACAUAUACAUAUACAUAUAUAUAUAUAUGUAUACUUCUUGCAAAACUAAAUUAAAUGAUAAAACCAUAGUCAUGGAGAUAAACAUAAUCAUUGAACAAAAUAAUUUUCAUGAUUGAAACAAAGAAACAUGUUUUUCAUGCUUAACUCGAUUUAACCAAAUAAGAGACGAAAUAUCAUUUAUAACUUAUAUAUUAAGCAAUUGUUUAAAGAUGAUUUUUAAAGAUAUAAAAAUCGAAAGAACGCCAAGUCACUUAUCUAAUUCACAAAUCAAUACUCAAGUAGAUCACACAAAUCUCAUAGUAUCUUAAUAAUUUAAGAUACUAUUCAAAUAUAAGAAAUUAACAUGAAAAUAUAAAGUUUAACAAAGCAAAACCUAUCCCUGGUGAUCUUAAGACAUUUAAGUUGUGUGGCACCCUCCGUAACAAACCAAAACUAAUUGGUACUCCUUCCAUCCCAAAUUGUUUAGGUAUUAUUUACUUUUAUGGAGUUUAAGAAAUUUUUUUUUAAUUUUAAUGUAUUUAAUAUUAAAUUUUAAACUAUUUUUAUAAAAUUAAAGAUUCAUGAUUUUUAAUGUCAAAAAAUAAAAAAUAAAAAAUAGUAAUUUUAAAAUAAAAAGUAAAAAUUUAAAUGUUCAAAAAAAGAAAGAGAUUAUAAUUUUGAAACAUCUAAAAAAAAGAUGGACGAAAAAAUGGGAGGAAAGGAGUAAUAUAAUUCUUGAUUAAAACAUUUUUCCUUAUUAUUAAGAAAAAUAUCUAAAACUAAGUGAAAUUGAAAAUUAAAAUUUAAAAACAUAAAAUCAGAUUCAAAUGUGAUUUUUGAUGAAAAUCUAAUCACAACAUUAAAUAAAUUUCAUAUUGUAAGCUCGUAGGUUUUUAAAAAAGCUACUUACAUGAAAAAAAGUUUCAUAAGAAUAUGUUUUUUACAAAGUUAAAAAUUCAAUAAAAUAAUAUAUCUGAAUUAACUUAAUUUAUAGCUAAUAAAUAGACAUAUUAAUUAACAUUCAAAAAAUCAUUUUUAAUAUAAUUAAAAAUAUAUUUUGUAAUUUUGAAAUUUCAACAUUUUUUAAUUAAUUGGCUUAUUUAGAGCCAUUAAAUCUUCCACAUCCCAUGGUGUUUACAAAAACAUAGAUUUAAAGUAGGAAUGCAAUAAUGUAACUUCGAAUUUUGUUUCGACAAAAAUGAUUUCAAGAAUCAUAAAUUUUAUGAGCAGAAUCUUUGCUAAAAUAAAAAAACUGCUCAAACUUUUAGAUUUUUGGAUUUUCAAAUUUAUUGAGCUUACUUUGGAGUUUUGAUUAUCUUAAUAUAUAUCUAAUUGAACUAAUUAUAUCACUAGAAAGAACAAAUUGUAAAAUAUCGAAAUCAAAUAGAAAUCGACCCAACCACCCACCAGAAGACAGUUUUGGUGACCCAAAUUUGAAUAUUCAAAUAUCCAAAAUCAACAAACUUGAAAUAUUCAACUUGCUUAAAUUAAUUAAUCAAAAGAAAUGUCAUACAUACCAAUAAAAAUAUCUUAAAAAGACCUUAUCAUAAGUAUCCACAAUUCCAUCGAAAUAUCAUUGAUAGUUUUGGAAAGUCGAAAAAGUGUAAAACAAGUGUUUGAGUUUUGUAAAAUAUUAUUCAAACUAUAAAAAUUUAAAGAGUUUUAACCAAAUUCUCACCUUAAUUAGUGUUUUCUCAAGAUCCAUUUGCCAUUCCUUUGCUUGUUUUCUGUUCUCUAGGUUAGUUUUUCCCUUUUCCCCAAUACUCUAUUUGUCAAAAGUAUAGAGAACAUAAAAUAAAAUUUAACUAAAAUAGACCCUUGUAAAGAAUAUUUUACACUAAUAAUCUUAUUGAGCCCAAAAUAUUAAUUAUGGCAAAGCAAGAAUUGAAAUUAAAAAUUUAAGAAAUAAAUUUUUUUGAAACAAUAUAAUCAUAAAAUACACUAAAAGCAUAUAAUAUAAAAUUUUAACCAUAUCCUAAUUUUUGUGAUAUUACAAAUGGUAUGGCCGGUAAAGGUUUGUGAAGUUCAUGGACUUCAUAAUUUUCUAUUUUUAUAGAUGUUAUAUUGGUAACAGACCCCAAUUUCAUUUCUAAGCACUUUUUUUUUUUUUUUUUUUUGUAAUGGCAUGUCAAUUAAACAAGCAAUCCUGAAGUGUUUCUCAUUUUUUUUCCUGUUAAAACCAUUGGAUCAAAAUGGAGUAAUGAAAAGCAAACUUAAAACAUCAAGAGAUUAAGAGGAGAAAAAUUACUUUGGUAUGAGAAGUUAAAACUCCAGGUGAAACUUUGAUAGCCGAGCUGUAACUGUACUGGUUGUUGUUGACGAGCAUAAUCCGUGUAGAGAAGAUUUAACCGAAAUUUAGAUGUUAAGUAUAUGUGAAGAAUGUGAAGUGCCUAUGUCAACAACUGUAUAACGUGUUGGCAGUGAGAAGGAUUCAAAUCUUGACAGUCUAAAAUAUAAGAAAAGGUGAAGUGCUUAUCAAAACAAUUUUAAAUCUGUAUUAAAGAUCAAACGAUGUUAUAACCUCUAG
RNAcentral lists this long non-coding RNA (3436 nucleotides) under Durio zibethinus. Its description in RNAcentral is "long non-coding RNA (DZIB_LNC000113)". The record is from RNAcentral. Lineage: Eukaryota; Viridiplantae; Streptophyta; Magnoliopsida; Malvales; Malvaceae.